AGUCUAGCAAGUAGCAAUGUGGUUGCUAUAUCGGCAAACAUUUUUGUUAGUGUUCUGCUUUUGGCAUGCGUAUUUGCUCAUUAACUUGAUGUGUGAUUGUGUGAUCGUUAAAUUUGAAAUAGACCCUUCCAAAAAGUACGUCACAUUGGCUAUCGUGCCUCCUUUUCGUGGUUGAGAUGCUUGGAGUUAACUAAUCUCACGCACACAAAAAUAUUUUUAUAGCCCAAAUUACAUACUAUCUGAAAGGGUGUAUUAGUUAACACAAUCACAUUGAAUGUUUGGGUUCUUCUGUUAUAUCAAGACCACCAGAAUUAUAAUCUUAAUUUUCUUAUUAAAUACCACCAGGGUGCCCCCCCCCUUUCCUUGUUAAAGAUGCUCUGUAUUGUUAAUGUUUGGUAUGUAAGGUAAAGCAAUUGCGUCCAAUCCAAUUUGGGACUGAAAAAAAAAACUAAGCAAAGGUGAGUAGUUACAAAUCGGCCGCUUAUGUUAGAUGUAUUAAAGCCCUAAACCUCCUGACCUAUUAUAAAAAAUCAAAGUUUAAUUCAAACACUUCAAGCUAAAAUUAUUGCCGUUUUGGCAAGGCG
Paramuricea clavata is the source of this 584-nucleotide non-coding RNA. The record is from the annotation of a GenBank genome assembly. NCBI's taxonomy places the organism in Eukaryota, Metazoa, Cnidaria, Anthozoa, Malacalcyonacea, Plexauridae.